Equus caballus (horse) is the source of this 348-nucleotide non-coding RNA. Lineage: Eukaryota; Metazoa; Chordata; Mammalia; Perissodactyla; Equidae. The record is from RefSeq and is a predicted model, not a curated record.
CGCUCGCGGCGGGCGUCCUGGGGGUCCGGGAAGACGUUAGUCCCGUCGUUGGGGUCUUCUCCUAACGUGACGGCGACGCCCCCUCCUCGUCGUGGGCUCGCCCUCCGUCGCUCCACCAGGUCGGUCUCAGACCUUUGACCGCGGGCCGGCCACAACCCUGACCUUCCUCCAGGCCUCCGGCCGAGCCGGCUCCGCUUGUGCCAUUGGGCCCUGGGAGCCACCGACUCUCGGAUCUUUGGAGCCAUUUUGCAGAGAUGUCACCUCUGCGAUGCCGUCUUUCCUCAACGAUUACAUUUCCUCCCCCCCGCCCCAAAAGAUUGUGAAAAUAAAGGCACAGUCUCAUUCUGA